CCUACGGGAGGCAGCAGUGAGGAAUAUUGGUCAAUGGGCGAGAGCCUGAACCAGCCAAGUCGCGUGAGGGAAGACGGCCCUAUGGGUUGUAAACCUCUUUUGUCGGAGAACAAAACCCGGGACGUGUCCCGGACUGCGUGUAUCCGAAGAAAAAGCAUCGGCUAACUCCGUGCCAGCAGCCGCGGUAAUACGGAGGAUGCGAGCGUUAUCCGGAUUUAUUGGGUUUAAAGGGUGCGUAGGCGGGACCUUAAGUCAGCGGUAAAAUUGCGGUGCUCAACGCCGUAGAGCCGUUGAAACUGGGGCUCUUGAGUGAGCGAGAAGUAUGCGGAAUGCGUGGUGUAGCGGUGAAAUGCAUAGAUAUCACGCAGAACCCCGAUUGCGAAGGCAGCAUACCGGCGCUCAACUGACGCUGAGGCACGAAAGUGCGGGUAUCGAACAGGAUUAGAUACCCCGGUAGUC
This 459-nucleotide ribosomal RNA is filed under the name uncultured bacterium. RNAcentral describes it as "partial 16S ribosomal RNA". It matches the Rfam family "Bacterial small subunit ribosomal RNA", at positions 338 to 795 of the family's 1533-position model. The record is from RNAcentral.